AGCCUGGGCAACAUGGCAAAACUCUGUCUCUACAAAAAAUAGAAAAAUUAGCCAAGAGUAGGGGUAUGUGCUUGUAGUCCCAGCUACUCGGGAUGCUGAGGUGGGAGGAUCGCUUGAGCCCAGGAGUUCUGGGCUGUAGUGCGCUAUGCCGAUCGGGUGUCCGCACUAAGUUCGGCAUCAAUAUGGUGACCUCCCGGGAGCGGGGGACCACCAGGUUGCCUAAGGAGGGGUGAACCGGCCCAGGUCGGAAACGGAGCAGGUCAAAACUCCCGUGCUGAUCAGUAGUGGGAUCGCGCCUGUGAAUAGCCACUGCACUCCAGCCUGAGCAACAUAGCGAGACCCCGUCUCCCGGGAGCGGGGGACCACCAGGUUGCCUAAGGAGGGGUGAACCGGCCCAGGUCGGAAACGGAGCAGGUCAAAACUCCCGUGCUGAUCAGUAGUGGGAUUGCGCCUGUGAAUAGCCACUGCACUCCAGCCUGGGCAACAUAGUGAGACCCUG
RNAcentral lists this long non-coding RNA (499 nucleotides) under Homo sapiens (human). Its description in RNAcentral is "LHRI_LNC2063.5". The stretch from base 51 to 350 matches the Rfam family "Metazoan signal recognition particle RNA". From Rfam's summary of the family: The signal recognition particle (SRP) is a universally conserved ribonucleoprotein. It is involved in the co-translational targeting of proteins to membranes. The eukaryotic SRP consists of a 300-nucleotide 7S RNA and six proteins: SRPs 72, 68, 54, 19, 14, and 9. The record is from RNAcentral. Lineage: Eukaryota; Metazoa; Chordata; Mammalia; Primates; Hominidae.